UUUCUUUUUGUCACUGGCUUUCAGCCACUUGACUAUGGUGCCUGAGUGUCUUUUGCUGAGGGUUAGUCAGCUUGGAAAUCAUGGAGCUUUGUGGACAUCACUUCCCCUAACAUUCUGGAGCAGUUUGGGAGUCUUCAGCAUUCCGGUUAAAAAAUAAACCAUGGAUAUGGACACUAUUCUCCAGGGAAACUGAGGAGUAAGGUGAUAAGAUAGAUUUGCAAAUGCUUUCCUACAUUUUAGUUUCUAGUGAAUUAGAAGAGAAUGGUAUGAGGUAGAUAUGUUCAAUUGGCAUACCUCAACUAAAAGAAGGUAGAGACCACAAUCUGGAAGCACAGAAAAAAAAUCCAGCAUAGAAAAGAGAGUACCUGUGUCCUGAGGGCAUUCUUAUCACAUCUAUCUUUUUGAGGAAGUUAAAAAAGAUACCAGAAAGCAGUUGCUAUGGAUGAGGAAGACAGUACCUCAAAGUGUUUAAAAGCUCAGACUCUCAGCAAGUGACUUUAAGCAAGUCUCUUAAACUCCUUAAGGUUCAAUUACCUACCUAUAAAAAGUGAAUAAGAAUAAUUUCUAAGAUACAGAGCCGCAUUCAAAAAAUAUGAGAUAAUGUGUAUAAAACACUUUGCAUGAAUUUCAUCAAACAGUAAAUUUUAUUAACUCAGCUCUUGAUUUAUUUUUUGCAAGAAGAAGAAGAAGAAGAAGAAGAAGAAGAAGAAGAAGAA
This is a long non-coding RNA of Sciurus carolinensis (gray squirrel), 716 nucleotides long. RefSeq lists it as uncharacterized. NCBI's taxonomy places the organism in Eukaryota, Metazoa, Chordata, Mammalia, Rodentia, Sciuridae. The record is from RefSeq and is a predicted model, not a curated record. The transcript has 2 exons.